CUAAGCUUUUAAGAGAUGUUAAGGUUUUUUUCACCAAAGACAUUAAUUUGGAAAGAAAAGGGUCGCCCAUUUCUCCCUCGACCUGGACGAAGGCAAAUGAGAGAAUUCUAUGUUAUCUUGGGUUCUGUAGAGACACGCUUCAUUACAAAGACAUCAGCCCAGAUCUAUUUUUAAGAACACGGUUACUCGAAAGGUAUCUGGAUUAUUUAAAGACGGACAGGAAGCUUGCAUCGUCUACCCUAGCCAAUCACGCUGCCUCCUUGAUCUACCCAGCAAAAUUCUUGAACCGAGAACACGCCGUCACCCUCUACAGGGAUGUCAAAGUCGUUUCGCAGCUGAGGGGUGCCUGCAAU
Molecule: long non-coding RNA, 353 nt
Organism: Nematostella vectensis (starlet sea anemone)
Lineage: Eukaryota; Metazoa; Cnidaria; Anthozoa; Actiniaria; Edwardsiidae
Exons: 4
Source: RefSeq, a predicted model, not a curated record